This is a long non-coding RNA of Daphnia pulex (common water flea), 642 nucleotides long. RefSeq lists it as uncharacterized. The record is from RefSeq and is a predicted model, not a curated record. The transcript has 3 exons. NCBI's taxonomy places the organism in Eukaryota, Metazoa, Arthropoda, Branchiopoda, Diplostraca, Daphniidae.
ACAUACCGAAAUAAGAGCUGCUGACUCCCCUCUAGCAGUCAAACCUUGCAUAUAUAAAGGCUUUGGAGUGGCUAGAUUCAGCAUCAGUUGUUUCAAAGCAGCAGUUCUUCUAGCAACCCUUCCACACUCACUCAACAUGCCUUCCAUGAAAUUGAUGUUGGUCGUUUUGGCCGCUUUCGUCGCUUACGUCUCAGCCCAGUCCGGUUAUGCCGCACCGGCCUACUCUCCACCAGCUUACGCUGCUGAUUACAAGCCAGGCUACGCUAACGGCCGUGUGAAGAUGCAGGUGUACCGCGGACCCAACAAGGAAUACGGAAAAGGUUACGACAAGGAUUCUUUCGCUCCCUGGGGCUUUUACGUCACACAACCCGAAGACAACAAACCUUACGGAAAGGGCUAUUAAGGCUACUACUUGCCACGACUCAAAAUGCACCAUUGGCCCUGAUGAUUUGAUACCGUUUCAUCAUCACCACGAAAACGAACAAAUUCCGAAGAAAUUCACCAUCAAAUUCAACAAGAAAAAUUUUUAUUAUUAUUUGAAUGCAAUGGCAACAUGAUGUGGCUGGAUUCCAUAGAUUGUUGUCGUCGAUGACGUUGUUUUAAAAAUAUUUCCCAUCAAGAAAUAUAGAGUGUUUGAAAAGA